Molecule: transfer RNA, 59 nt
Filed under: Bacillus atticus
Lineage: Eukaryota; Metazoa; Arthropoda; Insecta; Phasmatodea; Bacillidae
Description: tRNA-Val
Source: RNAcentral
CAAAUACUAGUUUAAAGAAAAUUAUUCAUUUACAUUGAAUAGAUUAAUUGUGCAAUCAU